GGACCAUUAGCUCAGUCGGUUAAAGCCAACCGCUCAUAACGGUUAGGUCACAGGUUCGAGUCCCGUAUGGUCCA
RNAcentral lists this transfer RNA (74 nucleotides) under Enterococcus faecalis EnGen0066. RNAcentral describes it as "tRNA-Met". It matches the Rfam family "tRNA". From Rfam's summary of the family: Transfer RNA (tRNA) molecules are approximately 80 nucleotides in length. Their secondary structure includes four short double-helical elements and three loops (D, anti-codon, and T loops). The record is from RNAcentral. Lineage: Bacteria; Bacillati; Bacillota; Bacilli; Lactobacillales; Enterococcaceae.